Molecule: small RNA, 392 nt
Filed under: Kangiella geojedonensis
Lineage: Bacteria; Pseudomonadati; Pseudomonadota; Gammaproteobacteria; Kangiellales; Kangiellaceae
Description: Kangiella sp. YCS-5 cspA thermoregulator
Rfam family: cspA thermoregulator
Source: Rfam by way of RNAcentral
UACUGUCGUACCACCGCUAUUUGUUAUCUAAGUUAAUGCCGUUUUUAUCUCAGUAACACCCGCGUUAGUGACCCAUAGGGGGUUUUCGACGCAAACAUUAAUUUUUAAGCAAAUUAGCUUUGGAGAAAUAUCAUGUCAAAAGUAACUGGUACAGUUAAGUGGUUCAACGAGUCUAAAGGUUUUGGUUUCAUCGAGCAGCAAGCUGGCGAAGACGUAUUCGUACACUUCCGCGCUAUUCAAGGUGACGGCUUCAAAACUUUAGCAGAAGGCCAACAGGUUGAGUUCGAAAUCGAGCAAGGCCCUAAAGGCGCUCAAGCUGCUAACGUUACUAAAGUAUAAUUAUAUACUUUAAACGUUUCUAAGAAAGCCGCUCAAUGAGCGGCUUUUUUUAU